This 60-nucleotide ribosomal RNA is filed under the name Chrysoporthe cubensis. Its description in RNAcentral is "partial 18S ribosomal RNA". Lineage: Eukaryota; Fungi; Ascomycota; Sordariomycetes; Diaporthales; Cryphonectriaceae. The record is from RNAcentral.
UCCGUAGGUGAAACCUGCGGAGGGAUCAUUGCUGGAACUGCGCCCCCCUACGGGCGCAAC